UCUCCUUAGGUGAACUUGGGGAGGGAUCAUUA
This 32-nucleotide ribosomal RNA is filed under the name Devriesia thermodurans. RNAcentral describes it as "partial 18S ribosomal RNA". The record is from RNAcentral. Lineage: Eukaryota; Fungi; Ascomycota; Dothideomycetes; Mycosphaerellales; Teratosphaeriaceae.